AUGGCAAGUCGGAGCGGKAGCACAGAGAGCUUGCUCUCGGGUGACGAGCGGCGGACGGGUGAGUAAUGUCUGGGAAACUGCCUGAUGGAGGGGGAUAACUACUGGAAACGGUAGCUAAUACCGCAUAAYGUCGCAAGACCAAAGUGGGGGACCUUCGGGCCUCAUGCCAUCAGAKGUGCCCAGAUGGGAUUAGCUAGUAGGUGGGGUAACGGCUCACCUAGGCGACGAUCCCUAGCUGGUCUGAGAGGAUGACCAGCCACACUGGAACUGAGACACGGUCCAGACUCCUACGGGAGGCAGCRGUGGGGAAUAUUGCACAAUGGGCGCAAGCCUGAUGCAGCCAUGCCGCGUGUGUGAAGAAGGCCUUCGGGUUGUAAAGCACUUUCAGCGGGGAGGAAGGCGKURAGGUUAAUAGCCUYRUCGAUUGACGUUACCCGCAGAAGAAGCACCGGCUAACUCCGUGCCAGSAGCCGCGGUAAUACGGAGGG
This 488-nucleotide ribosomal RNA is filed under the name Klebsiella pneumoniae. RNAcentral's name for it is "bacterial SSU rRNA". It matches the Rfam family "Bacterial small subunit ribosomal RNA", at positions 55 to 532 of the family's 1533-position model. Lineage: Bacteria; Pseudomonadati; Pseudomonadota; Gammaproteobacteria; Enterobacterales; Enterobacteriaceae. The record is from RNAcentral.